AGGCUUGUUCGGGAUUUGAACCCGGGACCUCUCGCACCCUAAGCGAGAAUCAUACCCCUAAAUCAACGAGCC
RNAcentral lists this transfer RNA (72 nucleotides) under Cordylochernes scorpioides. RNAcentral's name for it is "tRNA-Pro". Lineage: Eukaryota; Metazoa; Arthropoda; Arachnida; Pseudoscorpiones; Chernetidae. The record is from RNAcentral.